Molecule: ribosomal RNA, 454 nt
Filed under: Phycisphaerales bacterium
Lineage: Bacteria; Pseudomonadati; Planctomycetota; Phycisphaerae; Phycisphaerales
Description: bacterial SSU rRNA
Rfam family: Bacterial small subunit ribosomal RNA
Source: RNAcentral
GAAGUGUCGGGUUAAGUCCCUUAACGAGCGCAACCCCUGUCGUUAGUUGCUAGCAGGUAAUGCUGAGGACUCUAACGAGACUGCCGGUGUUAAACCGGACGAAGGUGGGGAUGACGUCAAGUCCGCAUGGCCUUUAUGCCCAGGGCUGCACACGUGCUACAAUGGCAGGUACAGAACGAUGCAAUACCGCGAGGUGGAGCAAAUCGCGAAAACCUGCCCCAGUUCGGAUUGGAGGCUGCAAUUCGCCUCCAUGAAGUUGGAAUCGCUAGUAAUCGCGGAUCAGCAUGCCGCGGUGAAUACGUUCCUGAGCCUUGUACACACCGCCCGUCAAGUCAUGGAAGCUGGUAGCGCCUGAAGUCGCCACGAUUCAGUGGUGCCCACGGCGAGACUGGUGACUGGGACUAAGUCGUAACAAGGUAGCCGUAGGGGAACCUGCGGCUGGAUCACCUCCUUU